Molecule: long non-coding RNA, 4803 nt
Filed under: Glycine max (soybean)
Lineage: Eukaryota; Viridiplantae; Streptophyta; Magnoliopsida; Fabales; Fabaceae
Description: long non-coding RNA (GMAX_LNC002890)
Source: RNAcentral
AGCUUCAUGGUGCAAAUAUUUUCCUCAACCCCAUUUCUAGUCUGACAUCCUCUUCCACGUGGUUCUUGUUGUUCGGGCCUGCUUGGUCGCUGUGGAGGGUGAUCAGGACGAGGUUGAUCUUCUUCUUCGUCCUCGUCCUCGUCAUCUUCAUGCUUUCCAUGGCUUGGUCGUCGUGGAGGAUAAGAGGGAGUUUGUUCAUAUUCUUCGUCUUCAUCUUCGUCUUCGUCUUCUUGUUCUUGCCACUUGGGGCUGAUAACGCUGAGGCCUCCCUCCACUGUCACGAUCUGCUUCCUUUCGUCAUCUGGAGACCGAAGUUUCUCAGCUGUGUCCUCGUUGGUGUUGAAGGAUUGUGCUAAGAAAUGUUUGCUGAAGCCACUGAGCACACUGCCACCUUCUUCCUCCUGCUGCUGGUGUUGCCCCUGCUUGCGUCCACCAUGACUCUUCUGCUGCUGCUGUUGUUGCAUGGUCUCUGGGUGCUCUAUAUCUGGGUUCCCAGCAAGGUAAAAUACCUUGAAAGUAAUUAAAAAAAUUAACAUGUGAGGAGAACAUGUUUUUUUUAAUAAUAAAAUAAUAGUUAAUAGUAAAUGAAGUUCAAUUGAUAUCCAAUCAUGAUACAAGUAUAUAUCCAACUAUUUUAAACACUCCAUUAAUAUAACUUAUUUCUCUUUUCUUAUCACAUUAUAAAUUCUAUCCUAUUUAUAUGUAUUUUUUUCUUUUUCAUUUCUCCCUCUAGAUAUAAGAUAGUGUUCUUCAAACAUUUUUCAUAAAUAAUAAAACAUAACAUCCAAAUGAUGUGAUAUAAAGUAUAUUAAUUAUUUUAUUACUUAGUAUAUUUAAUAAAAGAAAAUAAUAAUAAAAAAUAUUUUGUUAGGUGUCUUUUUAAGUGUGUAUGAUACUAUGCAGUGACAUGUGUAUCACUGCUCAUUAUAAUUACGUACUCUGGGGUUUUGAUCAAGCUGAUUGUUGAAGUUGGAGGUGUCAAGAAGACUGAUGGCAACAACUGGUUCAUCGCCAGUGUUAUAGGUCCAGUAAGGAACACCAGGAGGAAUCACUAGUACGUCUCCUUCAUUGAAGUGACGAAUCUUCUGGUGACUGUCUUGUAGUUGCUGCUGCGACCUUGAGCCUCUUCUGCUUGAUUGCUGUUGUGGCUUCUCAAACGUCUCAGGACAUCCCGGAAAUGCAAAUCCAAUUGCUCCCUUCCCUGUGCAUCAAUCAUCAUCAAGCAAAACAAUCACAUUAAUUAUCAACUAAUUAACACUCUUUAGUCAUCAUAAUUGUUAAGAGUUCAUUCAUAUAACUUGUAAGAUAGUUAGUCAUCAAAUUGUGAUUAGACAUAUAGAUAUAUAGUAUUAUUAUUAUUAUUAUUAUUAUUAGUUUUAUUAGAUGAUACUAUGCCAUAAUGUGGUGUUUAAAACCUAGUUGAGAAAAACAAAUUCUACUAAAAAUGAUUAAUCAAAUUUUCUAGCAGAGAUUAAUUAUAAAAAAUUUAAUAAAUAUUUCAUAUUACUAUUAUUGUUAUCACGUUAAGCUGAUAAAUACUUCUUACUAAUAUUACGCACCUUGAACGACAAUGAUCAUUUGGGGAUAAGGUGAGUAAGAUGGCAAGUGGAGGCCGUUGCGGUUGAGGGUGCGUUUGGAAACAGUGACACCGGCGCAUUGCAGCUCAGGGUGUUGAGAGUUCCAUGUUUCAAUAAGACCACCUUCGGACUCAACGCGGUGGUCGGGUUCCAACGCGUUGAGGUUGUUGAGUUGGCACUCGUUGAACUUGCUGGAGGUAAUAGCAAAGCAUGCACUCGACAAGAGUAGCAAGCAAAGGGAAGAAAGAGAGAGAGUGAAGAAGGGCUUCCCCAUAUUGAACUAAGGAAAGUGUUAAUAAGUUUGAAGGAGUUGGUGAAGUGGAGAACACGAAGAGUGGCGAUUUAUAGUGAAGAGAGGAGAGUGAGUGAGGGACACGUCAAUGAAGAAGGGUUUCUGAGUUGGUGACAUUCUUCACCUUGCAUGGCUAUUGUUUCCAAUUUUGUUACACCUCAUACAUAAGCUAUGCUUCGUUUAUAUCUGCAACCGUACAUGAACAACACCAAAAUUGCAGGCACCCUGAAUGGUCCCCCUCUACAGAUUCUCCGCGUCUCAAAUUCUAUCCUCCUUAUACAAUAAGAUCAGCAUUCUAUUCAGUGCAUCAUAUUUUUUUUAUACAAUUAAUUUCCUUUAUAAAUGAGAUAAGGAUAUGAAAAAAAUGUGAAAUAAAAUAAAUAAUAUUACUGUAAAAGAUAAAAAAAAAGGUUUUAUAAACUGUUAAAUAAUUUUUUUAUAACCAUACUAUAUCAUCUUUUAUAUAAUGCGUUAAAUAUUAAAAAAGAAAAUGACAUCCACAAUAAUCUUAUCUAACUCCUGCAGCAUAAUUGUCUCUGUAAAAGAUAUAUAUCAAAUACUAUGAUGUUUAAAAUCUUUCUCAAUUUGAACUGUUUUACUGUAUAUGCAGUUCGUCACCAUAUAUAAGGUUGGCAUGGAAAAGGAGAAAGAGAGAAAUUGCUGCUUCGAAUCCAUUCUAUUCACAUUUAUAAUAAAAACUAAUAAAUUAACAUUUAUUUAUAAAAAAAAAUUAAUGAUAAAUUUUUCAAAAUUAUAUAUAAAUUAUUUUCACACUAAUUUUUUUUAAAUGUCACUUAGAUUUAAUCAUAAAUCGAAUUUUGAGUAUAUAAUUAUAUUAAACACUUUAAAAAAAAAGGUUUUAUUUCCCAUAAUAAUUCUCCUUGACUUAAAUAAGAUUACCUCCUUUUAUGAAAGGAUACCAAUGCUUUUAAACUUAAAAAUAAAACACUUAAUAAUGUGUCAAAAAAUCAAACACUAUUUUUAUGCCUAAUUGAUUACAUGACGAGCGUGCAUGUUAUAUUAGAUAGACACGCGUUUUACUAGAUUAAAUAUUUUUUAGUUCUUCAAAAUUUAGUAAAAUUCGUUUUUGGAUCCUCAGGUUUAAAGUUAAACGUUUUCAUUUAUAAUUUGAGAAAUAGACUUGUUUUCAUCCUUCAUACUAGUGACCAUAGGUGAAAUGCUAAUGUGGUCAAUGGAUUCAAGUCAUAAUUCGAUCACCACGUCAUUUCCGGUUCAUGUGACCUAAUGGUGUCACAUUAAAGGAACGAAAACUGAAUUUUGCAUUUAAGAGGGAAUUAAACAUUUAGAUUGAAUUAUUAAAAAGAUUAAAAUCGAACUUUAUACGAGAGUCCAAAAGUAUUUUAUUAUGCUUAUAUGUUAAAAUUCAAUAGAAUAAAUAAGUACUCUCCUAUAUGAAGAACCAUAUACUAAUUCCGUUGAUUGAGUAUUAGCUAUGUACUAACAGAAAUAAUUUCCGUUUUUCCCCUUUCUCUUUCUCGUUCUUGGAAAAGUGUGUGCAUGAUUUUUUUUUUAUGAAUUCAUACUCCAACAAAUGGUAUCCAGAGCAGGUUGUUGAAGGGUGGUCAUCGAUCGAAAGUGAGGUGAGUGAAACCUAAACACGAGAGACGGUAAGCGAGUGAAAACACGAGAGACGGUGAGGAACCUUAUCAAUGGCAACAACGAACGAAAACUUUCCGGCGAACUUUCCGGUUCUUGAUGGGAGAAAUUACGAUCAGUGGAGUAUGAAGAUGAAGGCGAUCCUCGAUUAUCAAGAUGUGUGGGAUCUGGUGGUGAACGGACUUGAUCCGCUGCCGGUGAAUCCAACCACUGCGUAACAAGCGAUAUAUAGAGAUGCGAAGAAGAAGGAUUGCAAAGGUUUGUGCAUUCUGCAUCAGUGUGUGAAUCAAGCAAUUUUUGAGAAAUUUGCGAGAUCGGAGACGAGCAAAGCGGCGUGGGAUGUUCUCGCGAGCUCCUACGCCGGUGAUCAGAAAUUGAAGAAAGUACGACUUCAAACUCUAAGGUGACAGUAUGAAUUGCUAGGCAUGGAAGAGAGUGAGACAAUUGCUACCUAUUUCACUCGUGUUCAAACCAUGACAAAUCAAACGCCGGUGAUCGGUGCAUUCGCGAUUUGAUCAUGUCACGGUAGCGAUUGAAGAAUCGAAGGAUCUAUCAACGCUAAAAUGGAGGAGCUCAAGNNNNNNNNNNNNNNNNNNNNNNNNNNNNNNNNNNNNNNNNNNNNNNNNNNNNNNNNNNNNNNNNNNNNNNNNNNNNNNNNNNNNNNNNNNNNNNNNNNNNAACUCUGGUAGAGGAAACUCUAGUAAUAAUUACAAUAGUGAACAAAAGAACAAUAGCAGUGAAAAUUAUAGAAGAAGAGGUGGAAGAGGUGGUAGAGGAAGAGGUGGAAGAGGAGGAAGAAAAAUUGAUAAGAGUCACAUUCAAUGUUAUAAUUGUGAGAAAUACGGUCAUUUUGCCGAUGAAUGCUAUAGUAAUCCAAGCCACCCUGAGGCAAGAUUGGCUUAAGAAGAAGAUGAGAAGGAGGAAAUUCUGUUAAUGGCAGUAGAGGAGGAAAUUGGUGAUGAUGGAGUGGAAGAAGUGAGAAAGGAGAAAGUAGAUAUAGAAGAAGUGUUAUAUAUGGUGACUGUGAAGGAUGAGAGUGAUCAUGGUGAUAACUGGUUCCUUGACACUGGGUGUUCAACACACAUGUCAUGAAAGAAGGAAUGGUUUGUUGAGAUAGAUUUCACUGUCAAAAGCAGGGUGAGGUUUGCUGAUGACAGGACUAUGAAGGUUGAAGGUGUAGGAAAGGUGAUGAUCAGGAAGAGAGAUGGAUCUAAAUGCUUUAUUUCUGGAGUGUUGUAUGUUCCAGGAAUGAAGAGCAAUCUUCUGAGCAUUGGACAGCUACUGGAGAAAGGGUACAAGAUGGUGUUGGAGGAUUGU